CCUACGGGUGGCAGCAGUGAGGAAUAUUGGUCAAUGGACGCAAGCCUGAACCAGCCAAGUCGCGUGAGGGAAGACGGUCCUAUGGGUUGUAAACUGCUUUUGUCCGGGAGCAAAAGACGCUACGCGUGGCGUUCUGAAAGUACCGGACGAAAAAGCAUCGGCUAACUCCGUGCCAGCAGCCGCGGUAAUACGGAGGAUUCGAGCGUUAUCCGGAUUUAUUGGGUUUAAAGGGUGCGCAGGCGGUCGGAUAAGUUAGCGGUCAAAUGGCGGGGCUUAACCCCGUGCCUGCCUCUGAUACUGGUCUUCUAGAGAGCGUGUGCAGCAGGCGGAAUGCGUGGUGUAGCGGUGAAAUGCUUAGAUAUCACUCAGAACACCGAUUGCGAAGGCAGCUUGC
RNAcentral lists this ribosomal RNA (394 nucleotides) under uncultured bacterium. RNAcentral's name for it is "partial 16S ribosomal RNA". It matches the Rfam family "Bacterial small subunit ribosomal RNA", at positions 338 to 729 of the family's 1533-position model. The record is from RNAcentral.